RNAcentral lists this ribosomal RNA (450 nucleotides) under uncultured bacterium. Its description in RNAcentral is "partial 16S ribosomal RNA". It matches the Rfam family "Bacterial small subunit ribosomal RNA", at positions 354 to 796 of the family's 1533-position model. The record is from RNAcentral.
GUGGGGAAUAUUGGACAAUGGGCGAAAGCCUGAUCCAGCCAUGCCGCGUGUGUGAAGAAGGUCUUCGGAUUGUAAAGCACUUUAAGUUGGGAGGAAGGGCAGUAAGUUAAUACCUUGCUGUUUUGACGUUACCGACAGAAUAAGCACCGGCUAACUUCGUGCCAGCAGCCGCGGUAAUACGAAGGGUGCAAGCGUUAAUCGGAAUUACUGGGCGUACAUCGCGCGUAGGUGGUUUUGUAAGUUGGAGGUGAAAUCCCCGGGCUCAACCUGGAAACUGCCUCCAAAACUGCAUGACUAGAGUAAGGGAGAGGGUAGUGGAAUUUCCUGUGUAGCGGGGAAAUGCGUAGAUAGAGGAAGGAACACCAGUGGCGAAGGCGACUACCUGGACUGAUACUGACACUGAGGUGCGAAAGCGUGGGGAGCAAACAGGAUUAGAAACCCCAGUAGUCC